This 187-nucleotide ribosomal RNA is filed under the name Vulpes vulpes (red fox). Its description in RNAcentral is "partial small subunit ribosomal RNA". The record is from RNAcentral. Lineage: Eukaryota; Metazoa; Chordata; Mammalia; Carnivora; Canidae.
AGCUAAAUAGUUCUGUAACAAAACAAUUCGCCAGAGAACUACUAGCAACAGCUUAAAACUCAAAGGACUUGGCGGUGCUUUAUAUCCCUCUAGAGGAGCCUGUUCUAUAAUCGAUAAACCCCGAUAAACCUCACCAUCCCUUGCUAAUACAGUCUAUAUACCGCCAUCUUCAGCAAACAAAACUUAC